This 305-nucleotide ribosomal RNA is filed under the name uncultured bacterium. RNAcentral describes it as "partial 16S ribosomal RNA". It matches the Rfam family "Bacterial small subunit ribosomal RNA", at positions 508 to 809 of the family's 1533-position model. The record is from RNAcentral.
ACAGCAGUCGCCGCGGGAAUACGAAGGGUGCAAGCGUUACUCGGAAUUACUGGGCGUAAAGCGUGCGUAGGUGGUGGUUUAAGUCCGUUGUGAAAGCCCUGGGCUCAACCUGGGAAUUGCAGUGGAUACUGGGUCACUAGAGUGUGGUAGAGGAUAGUGGAAUUUCCGGUGUAGCAGUGAAAUGCGUAGAGAUCGGAAGGAACAUCUGUGGCGAAGGCGACUAUCUGGGCCAACACUGACACUGAGGCACGAAAGCGUGGGGAGCAAACAGGAUUAGAGACCCCUGUAGUCCCUGUCUCUUAUAU